RNAcentral lists this ribosomal RNA (497 nucleotides) under uncultured bacterium. RNAcentral's name for it is "partial 16S ribosomal RNA". It matches the Rfam family "Bacterial small subunit ribosomal RNA", at positions 28 to 507 of the family's 1533-position model. The record is from RNAcentral.
GAUGAACGCUGGCGGCGUGCCUAAUACAUGCAAGUCGAGCGAACGGACGAGAAGCUUGCUUCCCUGAUGUUAGCGGCGGACGGGUGAGUAACACGUGGAUAACCUACCUAUAAGACUGGGAUAACUUCGGGAAACCGGAGCUAAUACCGGAUAAUAUAUUGAACCGCAUGGUUCAAUAGUGAAAGACGGUUUUGCUGUCACUUAUAGAUGGAUCCGCGCCGCAUUAGCUAGUUGGUAAGGUAACGGCUUACCAAGGCGACGAUGCGUAGCCGACCUGAGAGGGUGAUCGGCCACACUGGAACUGAGACACGGUCCAGACUCCUACGGGAGGCAGCAGUAGGGAAUCUUCCGCAAUGGGCGAAAGCCUGACGGAGCAACGCCGCGUGAGUGAUGAAGGUCUUCGGAUCGUAAAACUCUGUUAUUAGGGAAGAACAAAUGUGUAAGUAACUAUGCACGUCUUGACGGUACCUAAUCAGAAAGCCACGGCUAACUACGUG